AUAUUAUUUUAUUUUGGUUAAUAUUUUUAUUAUUAUUUUAUUUUACAUGUAAAUUUUUGUGUGAAUUUAUUUAAUUUUUAAAAAAUUAUUUAAUUAUUUUAUUCGCAGUAAUUAAUAUUAAUAUAAAAAAGAAAUUUUGUAUUAGUAAUAAUAUAUAGUAUUGGUAAAAUUUGUGCCAGCUACCGCGGUUAUACAAAUAAUACAAAUAAAAAUUUUUAGUAGUAGUUAAAUUAAUCAAAUUUUAAUAUAAAUAUAAAUUUAUUAGGUGAAAUUUUUAAAUUUAUUUAUUAUUAAUUUAAAAAAUAAUUUAAGCUAUAAACUUUUUAUAAUAAACUAGGAUUAGAUACCCUAUUAUAGAAAAUAAAUAUGAGCAUACUAAAGUAGUAUUAGUUAUAUUCUUAAAAUUUAAAAAAUUUGGCGGUAUUUUAGUCUAUUCAGAGGAAUCUGUCCUGUAAUUGAUAAUCCACAUUGAACCUUACUUAAAUUUGUUUAAUUUGUAUAUCGCCGUCAUCAGAAUAUAUUAUAAGAUAAAAUUUUCUUAAUAUCUAAUAAGAUAAUAUGUCAGGUCAAGGUGCAGUUUAUGUUUAAGUAGAGAUGGAUUACAAUAAAUUUAUUUAAUAUGAAUUAUUUUUUGAAAUAAAAAUUUGAAAGUGGAUUUGAAAGUAAUAUAAAAAAGAUUAUUUAUAUGAUUUUAGCUCUAAAAUAUGCACAUAUCGCCCAUCGUUCUUAUUUUUAAAAUAAGAUAAGUUGUAACAUAGUAAAUGUACUGGAAAGUGUAUUUAGAAAGA
RNAcentral lists this non-coding RNA (788 nucleotides) under Culex nigripalpus. Lineage: Eukaryota; Metazoa; Arthropoda; Insecta; Diptera; Culicidae. The record is from RNAcentral.